AAGACAGGUGCCAACUGGGAUCUGAUGUCAAGCGGAGAGAAAAGAGUGAGCUGCACAGACCCCAGUCUAAAACAUGAUCACAAGGGCUUUCGGGAAGGAAAAAGAUCAGCAACGAUAUCAAACAGACAGUUUAGCACCUUUUGAAGCAAUGGCUUAAACAGCCUGAACACUCUGGAGUUCUGCCCAAAAGAAAUGAUUUUAAGACCAUUCCUUGGAGAAUUCUAACAAAAACCCAUGGAAAGAAUAGAAAAGAACUGACCAGAUCAUACCACAGAAGAAAGAGACCACAGGCAACAUCAUCACAGAGCAAAAGAGACAGAAUGACACUAUCAACUUUCACAGAACAGCCCUCACCCAUUUCCAACAGCUUAGAGAACAUUCGGCUCCACUCAACCCUCAAGCCUGGGUGAGUUCCUGCCGUAUUCUGAGCCCAGAUGGAGUGAGACACACAGAUACACAGAUGACUUUCCUGCUUAUGAUCCAGGUACAGCAGGCAGCAUGUACCAAGGUGAGAAGUCCCUGGUGCAUUCACUGAGCUGCACAGGCUUGCUGGCUGGAUUCCCAGAACCCCCUUGAAUUCUGGCUCCUCCCUCUGCUCAAGACUUGGACCACUGUACUUAAUAGCAUGUUCAGUCUAGGCUCUUCUGAUCCCCCAUCCAACUGCUCAGGCCCCGUGGAGGCCUGGGAUAAAGAUAUGCUUAAGA
Molecule: long non-coding RNA, 704 nt
Organism: Mesocricetus auratus (golden hamster)
Lineage: Eukaryota; Metazoa; Chordata; Mammalia; Rodentia; Cricetidae
Exons: 2
Source: RefSeq, a predicted model, not a curated record